RNAcentral lists this non-coding RNA (116 nucleotides) under Pseudoxanthomonas spadix. RNAcentral's name for it is "Glycine sequence". It matches the Rfam family "Glycine riboswitch aptamer". From Rfam's summary of the family: This family represents the bacterial glycine riboswitch. Glycine riboswitches usually consist of two metabolite-binding aptamers domains with similar structures in tandem. Lineage: Bacteria; Pseudomonadati; Pseudomonadota; Gammaproteobacteria; Lysobacterales; Lysobacteraceae. RNAcentral also lists the same sequence under 1 other name. The record is from RNAcentral.
AGCACACACUCUGGAGAGACCGGUCGGCCCGCAUGGGUCGGCACCGGCGCCGAAGGGGCACGAAGCGGCAGUCGGCGCGCUUCCAAACUCUCAGGCAAAAGGACAGAGGGGCGCGA